CCUUACGGGCGGUGAGUGCAACCCUUACGGUUAGUUGCUACGCAAGAGCACUCUAGCCGGACUGCCGUUGACAAAACGGAGGAAGGUGGGGACGACGUCAAAUCAUCAUGCCCCUUAUGACUUGGGCUACACACGUACUACAAUGGCAGUCAUACAGAGGGAAGCAAAACCGCGAGGUGGAGCAAAUCCCUAAAAGCUGUCCCAGUUCAGAUUGCAGGCUGCAACUCGCCUGCAUGAAGCCGGAAUUGCUAGUAAUCGCGGAUCAGCAUGCCGCGGUGAAUACGUUCCCGGGCCUUGCACACACCGCCCGUA
RNAcentral lists this ribosomal RNA (312 nucleotides) under uncultured bacterium. RNAcentral describes it as "bacterial SSU rRNA". It matches the Rfam family "Bacterial small subunit ribosomal RNA", at positions 1078 to 1398 of the family's 1533-position model. The record is from RNAcentral.